RNAcentral lists this long non-coding RNA (270 nucleotides) under Solanum tuberosum (potato). RNAcentral describes it as "long non-coding RNA (STUB_LNC002829)". The record is from RNAcentral. Lineage: Eukaryota; Viridiplantae; Streptophyta; Magnoliopsida; Solanales; Solanaceae.
UGUACAUGGCCGGGUUGGUUCGGGUUUUUCAAAUAUCAAACCAAAUUAUUUAGGUCAGAUUUUUAAAUUUAUAAACCAAACCAAACCAAUAAAACUCGGGUUUUUCAACCUCGGGUUUUUUCGGGUUGUUUCGGGUUUUUCCGGUAAAGUAUUCAUACACAACAUAUAAUCUACUUGUACUUCAAAUAUUUCUUUAGUCCUACCAAAAUACAACUAUCUAAGAUGUUUCUUAAAAAUAUAACACAAUAUGAUAUGAUUAAUGACACUAAA